CAUGAUUUCUACAGAUAAUUGGAAAUGGACUGCAGAUCAAAUUUAUCCCAUAAUUUAGUACAAUAUCACCAUAGACAAGAAUGGUAAUAUUUCAGUUACUUCCUCUAUUGGAAUAUUUUAGGGAUAGUAUCCCUUGAAAGUUCCUAUGUUGGUCUACUGUGGUUCUACCAUACAUUGAGACUAUUUAGUGCCAAUUAUAGAGAGUACCACAUUGUUUGGCUAUAAAAAGAAACAUUGUUCUUUUUAAGGCAGUGUGGGGCAAUAAACUAGCUCUUUCUGCCUUAAACAAUUUUGUUACUGGUAAUUUGUUUUCAAAUGCACUGAUGCCAAAAAAAAAAAUACUGUGGACCUUUGUACUACAUAUUUGAAACAAAACUUGUGUUUUUUUCCUCUGUAAAAAGCUAUAAUCUACUGUUUUAUUUUGUUUUCAAUGUGCUUAAUUACUUAACAAAUCUGGUUAAAGUUACACUGUACCCUGGAAAACUACAGACAAGGAAGGAAGGAAUACAUGGUCAGGGUGGCUAAAAGAGGUAAUACAAAGUUUCAGCAUUUUUCUCAGAGGGCAUUAACACAUUCCUUCCUUAAGCCUUACUGAUUUUAUUUAACAUUUUAUCCUAAUGCACUAGCUGUUAGACUUUAAAGGCAAGGGCUAGAAGUAAAGUAGUGAUUUAGAAUAGCAGAGAGGUUGCUUGCAGCAGCAGUAAUGACUGAAAAAAAGAAGAC
Long non-coding RNA from Perognathus longimembris pacificus (Pacific pocket mouse), 723 nucleotides. RefSeq lists it as uncharacterized. The transcript has 2 exons. NCBI's taxonomy places the organism in Eukaryota, Metazoa, Chordata, Mammalia, Rodentia, Heteromyidae. The record is from RefSeq and is a predicted model, not a curated record.